UUGAACGCUGGCGGCAGGCCUAACACAUGCAAGUCGAGCGGAUGAAGGGAGCUUGCUCCUGGAUUCAGCGGCGGACGGGUGAGUAAUGCCUAGGAAUCUGCCUGGUAGUGGGGGAUAACGUCCGGAAACGGGCGCUAAUACCGCAUACGUCCUGAGGGAGAAAGUGGGGGAUCUUCGGACCUCACGCUAUCAGAUGAGCCUAGGUCGGAUUAGCUAGUUGGUGGGGUAAAGGCCUACCAAGGCGACGAUCCGUAACUGGUCUGAGAGGAUGAUCAGUCACACUGGAACUGAGACACGGUCCAGACUCCUACGGGAGGCAGCAGUGGGGAAUAUUGGACAAUGGGCGAAAGCCUGAUCCAGCCAUGCCGCGUGUGUGAAGAAGGUCUUCGGAUUGUAAAGCACUUUAAGUUGGGAGGAAGGGCAGUAAGUUAAUACCUGCUGUUUCGACGUUACCAACAGAAUAAGCACCGGCUAACUUCGUG
RNAcentral lists this ribosomal RNA (482 nucleotides) under uncultured bacterium. Its description in RNAcentral is "partial 16S ribosomal RNA". It matches the Rfam family "Bacterial small subunit ribosomal RNA", at positions 30 to 507 of the family's 1533-position model. The record is from RNAcentral.